CCGGACUCCUACGGGAGGCAGCAGUGAGGAAUAUUGGUCAAUGGUCGGGAGACUGAACCAGCCAAGCCGCGUGAGGGAUGAAGGUACAGAGUAUCGUAAACCUCUUUUGUCAGGGAGCAAUGGCGUCCACGUGUGGGCGUAUGGAGAGUACCUGAAGAAAAAGCAUCGGCUAACUCCGUGCCAGCAGCCGCGGUAAUACGGAGGAUGCGAGCGUUAUCCGGAUUUAUUGGGUUUAAAGGGUGCGUAGGCGGGACCUUAAGUCAGCGGUAAAAUUGCGGUGCUCAACGCCGUAGAGCCGUUGAAACUGGGGUUCUUGAGUGAGCGAGAAGUAUGCGGAAUGCGUGGUGUAGCGGUGAAAUGCAUAGAUAUCACGCAGAACCCCGAUUGCGAAGGCAGCAUACCGGCGCUCAACUGACGCUGAGGCACGAAAGUGCGGGUAUCGAACAGGAUUAGAUACCCGUGUACU
RNAcentral lists this ribosomal RNA (466 nucleotides) under uncultured bacterium. RNAcentral's name for it is "bacterial SSU rRNA". It matches the Rfam family "Bacterial small subunit ribosomal RNA", at positions 331 to 794 of the family's 1533-position model. The record is from RNAcentral.